This 207-nucleotide ribosomal RNA is filed under the name uncultured bacterium. RNAcentral describes it as "partial 16S ribosomal RNA". It matches the Rfam family "Bacterial small subunit ribosomal RNA", at positions 568 to 774 of the family's 1533-position model. The record is from RNAcentral.
UGCGCAGGCGGUUUUGUAAGUCUGACGUGAAAUCCCCGGGCUCAACCUGGGAAUUGCGUUGGAGACUGCAAGGCUGGAGUCUGGCAGAGGGGGGUAGAAUUCCACGUGUAGCAGUGAAAUGCGUAGAGAUGUGGAGGAACACCGAUGGCGAAGGCAGCUACCUGGACCAACACUGACACUGAGGCACGAAAGCGUGGGGAGCAAACA